Microcebus murinus (gray mouse lemur) is the source of this 650-nucleotide non-coding RNA. The record is from RefSeq and is a predicted model, not a curated record. Lineage: Eukaryota; Metazoa; Chordata; Mammalia; Primates; Cheirogaleidae.
GGGGGCUGGGGUUGCCGUCGGCCACUGAGGGGUUGGUGCCCAGCUGCCCUGGGCCAUGCCGCGUGGAACCCCCUGGCAGCAGGAUGGCCAGGCAGCCCCGGCUACACUCUGUAGAGGCCCCUCGUCCAGCCGGGCCCCUGCCCACCUACUGCCUGCACGCCUCACCUAGACUACAACUCAGGUGUCAGACCCAAGAACUAUCUGCCCAGAUGGCCCCGGCCUGAUGCCAGGGCCUGAGAGGUCAGGCUGUGCACUCUGAGGAAGGAGAUGCCAGCACUUGAGGCGGAGCACUUUAUUACAAGCAACACAGGAAGAAUGCUGGAGGUCAGACCAGAGAUGAGCAGCAACUGGCCGCACAGAGAUUUAUAUUUAUGCAGUUUCCUCGAAGGUUUCUGGCUUCAGCGUCAUGCAAAAAAAAGGCCUUCUCAACUCCAAGGUUUUUUAAAGUGAUGUUCUAAUAGAAAAGAGAUUAAAUAAAGCAUCUCUGGAGUGACAAAGGAGGUCAGAGCAGUGCCGUGUGCAAACACUGGGCUUGUUCAGAACUUUUCAGGAAUGCGUGUCUUGGGCACACAGUGGCUCAAGCGUGUUUCUUUCCCAUCUGGGUGCCUGGUGGUUAACCCUUCCUUCUACUGAGCAACUGCACACUGCUC